GCUUGUCUCAAAGAUUAAGCCAUGCAUGUCUAAGUAUAAACAACUUUGUACUGUGAAACUGCGAAUGGCUCAUUAUAUCAGUUAUAGUCUACUCGAUAGUACCUUACUACUUGGAUAACCGUAGUAAUUCUAGAGCUAAUACAUGCGUAAAUACCCAACUGCUUGUCGGACGGGUAGCAUUUAUUAGAUUGAAACCAACCCGGGCAACCGGUCCUUUGGUGAUUCAUGAUAACUUUGCGAAUCGCAUAGCUUUAAUGCUGGCGAUGGGUCAUUCAAAUUUCUGCCCUAUCAACUUUCGACGGUAGGAUAGAGGCCUACUGUGGUGAUAACGGGUAACGAAGAAUAAGGGUUCGAUUUCGGAGAGGGAGCCUGAGAAACGGCUACCACAUCCAAGGAAGGCAGCAGG
RNAcentral lists this ribosomal RNA (406 nucleotides) under uncultured eukaryote. RNAcentral describes it as "partial small subunit ribosomal RNA". It matches the Rfam family "Eukaryotic small subunit ribosomal RNA", at positions 30 to 432 of the family's 1831-position model. The record is from RNAcentral.